Molecule: unclassified non-coding RNA, 240 nt
Filed under: soil metagenome
Description: partial contains 5.8S ribosomal RNA, internal transcribed spacer 2, and large subunit ribosomal RNA
Source: RNAcentral
AACGCACGAGACCUGCGGACCUGCGGAAGGAUCAUUACCGAGUUUACAACUCCCAAACCCCAAUGUGAACAUUACCUUUACUGUUGCUUCGGCGGGAUCGCCCCGGGCGCGGCCGAGAGGCCCAGCCCCGGAUCCAACGUGCGCCCGCCGGAGGACCCCAGACUCCAUGUUUCUUGCAAGGUAUUUCUGAGCUGCUCCUAGCGAGCAAAACAAAAAAUGAAUCAAAACUUUUAGCAAUGG